UUUAUCUCUCCAAUACCCGAAGGGAUCUCUUGCAACUGCCAAAGAUCUCGAGCAACUAGCUUUUCAAGAACUCGAAAAGCAGAGGUGUCUGCAGCACAACACACGACAUCACAACCGUCAAUUCUCAAGAACCCGAGACAAGGAAACUCAGCGUUGAAAGUGCUCCACUCGCCUCCCAAGAAAGAGUUGUGUUCUAGCUCAAGAACUUGUAGAUGUGGCAACGAACCAAUCGUUGCCAGAUCUUCUCGAGCGAGGCUGCAGUUUCACAAGCACAACUUGUUUAGGCAAGUGGGGAAUGCAAGCCUCUUGCUCAGCAAAUCCACUGGAAAUCUUCAUAACAUGAAGUGUUUGCAAGUUUCUCAAGUUGCACAUGACGUGCCUGAAUUGUGACAUCUCCCAAACGUUUGCAGAUUCCAAACAAGUUGUAGAGCUUCCAUCUCUUUGAACAGAUUCAAGCCAUCUUCACAUUUGCCUUCACGAAAUAAGGGCUCUAGCAUUAUGUUAUAAGAAACCACAUCACGUCUUUAACCUUUUGCAGNAAAAUCGAUCACAUUAUGUGUGUACAAAUAAGGGCUCUUCAAGAAGUCGAAAAGCAGCCCAACACACGACAUUACUGCUGACGAUUCUACAACACACGACAUCACAGCCGACGAUUCUCAAGAACUUCAGACAAGGAAACUCACCGUUGAAAUAGCCAGAGAUUCAGAGCAGUGAUGCAAAUGAAUGAGUUUGAGCGUGUUUAUCUCUCCAAUACCCGAAGGGAUCUCUUGCAACUGCCAAAGAUCUCGAGCAACGAGCUUUUCAAGAACUCGAAAAGCAGAGGUGUCUGCAGCACAACACACGACAUCACAGCCGUCAAUUCUCAAGAACCCGAGACAAGGAAACUCAGCGUUGAAAGUGCUCCACUCGCCUCCCAAGAAAGAGUUGUGUUCUAGCUCAAGAACUUGUAGAUGUGGCAACGAACCAAUCGUUGCCAGAUCUUCUCGAGCGAGGCUGCAGUUUC
Molecule: long non-coding RNA, 1003 nt
Filed under: Salvia miltiorrhiza (redroot sage)
Lineage: Eukaryota; Viridiplantae; Streptophyta; Magnoliopsida; Lamiales; Lamiaceae
Description: long non-coding RNA (SMIL_LNC011631)
Source: RNAcentral